This 494-nucleotide ribosomal RNA is filed under the name uncultured bacterium. RNAcentral describes it as "partial 16S ribosomal RNA". It matches the Rfam family "Bacterial small subunit ribosomal RNA", at positions 28 to 507 of the family's 1533-position model. The record is from RNAcentral.
GACGAACGCUGGCGGCGUGCUUAACACAUGCAAGUCGAACGGUGAAGCGCCUUCCUUUUUGGUGGGUGUGGAUGAGUGGCGAACGGGUGAGCAACACGUGAGUAACCUGCCCCCUUCUUCUGGAUAACCGCAUGAAAGUGUGGCUAAUACGGGAUAUUCUGGGUCUGUCGCAUGAUGGGUCUGGGAAAGAUAUUGUUUCGGUGGGGGAUGGGCUCGCGGCCUAUCAGCUUGUUAGUGGGGUGAUGGCCUACCAAGGCGGUGACGGGUAGCCGGCCUGAGAGGGUGGACGGUCACACUGGGACUGAGACACGGCCCAGACUCCUACGGGAGGCAGCAGUGGGGAAUAUUGCACAAUGGGCGCAAGCCUGAUGCAGCGACGCCGCGUGAGGGAUGGAGGCCUUCGGGUUGUGAACCUCUUUCGCCAGUGAAGCAGGCCUGCCUCGUUUGUGGGUGGGUUGACGGUAGCUGGAUAAGAAGCGCCGGCUAACUACGUG